Molecule: ribosomal RNA, 391 nt
Filed under: Boophis tasymena
Lineage: Eukaryota; Metazoa; Chordata; Amphibia; Anura; Mantellidae
Description: partial 16S ribosomal RNA
Rfam family: Bacterial large subunit ribosomal RNA
Source: RNAcentral
AAACUGAUCUCCCCGUGAAGAAGCGGGGAUAACUAUAUAAGACGAGAAGACCCCAUGGAGCUUUAAACCCAGCAACACCUAUCUUUAUACACCCUUAUAUUCACGUAACUCUACUUGCUCGGUUUUAGGUUGGGGUGACCGCGGAGCACAACAAAACCUCCACGAAAAAAGGACCAACAAUCCUUAUCCAAGAUGCACAUAUCUAAGAAUUAAUAUAUUAACUUUUAAUGAUCCGUUAUUCGAUCAACGAACCAAGUUACCCUGGGGAUAACAGCGCAAUCUACCUCGAGAGCUCCUAUCGACAGGUAGGUUUACGACCUCGAUGUUGGAUCAGGGUAUCCCAGUGGUGCAGCAGCUACUAAAGGUUCGUUUGUUCAACGAUUAAAACCCU